UGAGGAAUAUUGGUCAAUGGUCACUAGACUGAACCAGCCAAGUAGCGUGCGGGAUGAAGGCCCUCCGGGUCGUAAACCGCUUUUAGACGGGGAUAAAAGGGCGUACGUGUACGCCGUAUUGCAUGUACCGUCAGAAAAAGGACCGGCUAAUUCCGUGCCAGCAGCCGCGGUAAUACGGAAGGUCCGGGCGUUAUCCGGGUUUAUUGGGUUUAAAGGGAGCGUAGGCGGACUUUCAAGUCAGUGGUAAAAUCGUGUGGCUCAACCAUACCUCGCCAUUGAAACUGGAAGUCUGGAGUGCACACAGGGGUGCCGGAAUUCAUGGUGUAGCGGUGAAAUGCUUAGAUAUCAUGAAGAACUCCGAUCGCGAAGGCAAGUGCCCGGGGUGCAACUGACGCUGAGGCUCGAAGGUGCGGGUAUCGAACAGGAUUAGAUACC
RNAcentral lists this ribosomal RNA (435 nucleotides) under uncultured bacterium. RNAcentral describes it as "bacterial SSU rRNA". It matches the Rfam family "Bacterial small subunit ribosomal RNA", at positions 355 to 786 of the family's 1533-position model. The record is from RNAcentral.